AGAGUUUGAUCCUGGCUCAGGACGAACGCUGGCGGCGUGCCUAAUACAUGCGAGUCGAGCGGACCUUUCGGGGUCAGCGGCGGACGGGUGAGUAACACGUGGGCAAUCUGCCCGAUACUCUGGGAUAACGCUUGGAAACGAGUGCUAAUACCGGAUGGUCUUCUUGGUCGCAUGGCCGAGAAGGAAAAGACGCGUUCGCGUCGGUGUCGGAUGAGCCCGCGGCGCAUUAGCUAGUUGGUGAGGUAAUGGCCCACCAAGGCGACGAUGCGUAGCCGACCUGAGAGGGUGACCGGCCACACUGGGACUGAGACACGGCCCAGACUCCUACGGGGGGCAGCAGUAGGGAAUCUUCCACAAUGGGCGAAAGCCUGAUGGAGCAACGCCGCGUGAGUGAUGAAGGCCUUCGGGUUGUAAAACUCUGUCAUUCGGGACGAACCGGAGUCUGAGGAAAUGCAGACUCUCUUACGGUACCGGAGGAAGAAGCCCCGGCUAACUACUUGCCAUCAGCCGCGGUAAUA
RNAcentral lists this ribosomal RNA (518 nucleotides) under uncultured bacterium. Its description in RNAcentral is "bacterial SSU rRNA". It matches the Rfam family "Bacterial small subunit ribosomal RNA", at positions 8 to 525 of the family's 1533-position model. The record is from RNAcentral.